This 1386-nucleotide unclassified non-coding RNA is filed under the name Dictyostelium purpureum. RNAcentral's name for it is "partial contains 18S rRNA, ITS1, 5.8S rRNA, ITS2 and 26S rRNA". The stretch from base 319 to 476 matches the Rfam family "5.8S ribosomal RNA". Lineage: Eukaryota; Evosea; Eumycetozoa; Dictyosteliales; Dictyosteliaceae. The record is from RNAcentral.
UUUUUAUCAUUUUUAAUACAAAUUGGUGACAUUGCCUAAGUAUUAUUGAAAGUAAUUGGGUGUUUUUCUAAGCAUUCAAUUAUUAGUAUAUGAUACUCAAGACUGUUAUCCCACUGUUUGAGUACUUUCUAAUGUGUUUAUAAUUUGAUAAUUAAUGUCUUUAGCCUCUUUAUGAGAGGUUAAGAAUCCAUCUAGCAAUGUUACAUAUGUUACGUACUAUCCCAACUCAAUAAUUUCUCACACACGCCUUUUGGUGUGUGUGUUUUUCUAGAACGUCAAACACAACAUUUAAAAUAUGUUUACAGAUUUUAAAUCUUUAAGCAUAAACGGUGGAUACCUCGACUCCUAAAUCGAUGAAGACCGUAGCAAACUGCGAUAAUUCACUUGAAUUGCAGCCUACUGGGAUAGUUGAAACGUUGAACGCACAUGAUGACAUCGGUCCUUUUGGAUUAGGUGUUAUAUUUGGGUGAGAGUCACUUAGACAAAUUGGUUGUCGAUGAGUGGGCCUUCGGGUUUGCUCAUUGCGAUGCAGGUGGAUGUCUUGGCUGGGGGUAGCCGCAAGGUCCUCGGAGAUUUCAUUGCUUGCCCGGGGUGAUUCCCCUGUUUGUUUAUCUGUCAUAGUAGAAAAGUUACAACAAUAUUGAUAACUAACCGGAGAAUAGUGUUCUAGUCUCUUACUUCUAUUGAUGCUUUCUUUCAUCGCUUUGUUAUGAUGCUUUUUUUGAAGCUCUCUUUGAUUAUUCCUUUUUUUAGGUUUUCUUUUUGUUUUUUCUUUUUCAAACUUUUUUGUUCUGACUUUUUUCAAACUUUUUGUUUUUCUUAUGUUGAAACUUUUGAUUUCUUUUUGAUUCUCUUUCUUUUCAUUCGCCGUCAAAAAGCGGGUGGGAAGUUUGGGGAGAGGAAAGGGAAAGGGAGUUUUGGGGUAAGAGGGGGGAAAAGCGAGGGAUUAGAAGGGGGGAAAGAGGGGGGAUUAGAAGGGGGGAAAAGCGAAUUUUUAAAUGGGAAUGAGAGGAUGAGAGAGAUGAUAAUUAAGAGGAUGACAUUGGGAUGGGUUAGAUAGAUAGAAGUCAAGAAAAACUUCUUUUUAGAUGGACAACGAGUAUUAUUGUCACCAACAAUCGAUCGUUUUAACGAAACAUAGUUGGAGGGCAUUAAGAUAUCGCGACCUACUAAUUAGAGGGGUAGGACAUUGGGUUGGACCUUCAAUGUAAUGGACGCUAUGGUUAUACAGAUUAGUGGUAUUGUGGGCAUGUAUGUAUUAAUGCUUAUAUGUGGUUUAUGCUGAUGUAAAAAGUUGGUAUAAAUUGGGUAUAUAGUGUUUAUGUUAUGCGCCAUUCGUGAAGUGCAGAGUUUGUUCGGCUCUCAUAAGGCUCUUUAAUAUCCAAA